Molecule: long non-coding RNA, 292 nt
Organism: Mustela erminea (ermine)
Lineage: Eukaryota; Metazoa; Chordata; Mammalia; Carnivora; Mustelidae
Exons: 3
Source: RefSeq, a predicted model, not a curated record
GGUGAUGCUUCUGAGAAGCCUGGUUGCUCUCAGUUUGCACACAGUGCUAUAGGCUGCUCUCAGAGGCCCUUGGUGGCUGAUGUUCCCACUGAACGUCUCAUGCGUACCAAGCCCACAAUCAAGUUAACUGCAAACACCUCGCUAAGGUGGCAGGGGGUUGAAGUUGUAUGUGUCAGCAUCGGGAACCGGGCCUUGCCUGCCUGCAGUCCGUGGCCAAGACAUAACUGCAUGGUGGACUUCCCAGGAAUAAUCCAUAACCCUUGAAUAAAUUUCUAAAAAUGUACCCUUUGUU